RNAcentral lists this ribosomal RNA (251 nucleotides) under uncultured bacterium. Its description in RNAcentral is "partial 16S ribosomal RNA". It matches the Rfam family "Bacterial small subunit ribosomal RNA", at positions 526 to 776 of the family's 1533-position model. The record is from RNAcentral.
CGUAGGGGGCAAGCGUUGUCCGGAUUUAUUGGGCGUAAAGAGCUCGUAGGCGGUUUGUCGCGUCUGCUGUGAAAACCCGAGGCUCAACCUCGGGCCUGCAGUGGGUACGGGCAGACUGGAGUGCGGUAGGGGAGAAUGGAAUUCCUGGUGUAGCGGUGGAAUGCGCAGAUAUCAGGAGGAACACCGAUGGCGAAGGCAGUUCUCUGGGCCGUAACUGACGCUGAGGAGCGAAAGCGUGGGGAGCGAACAGG